AGAGUGAAACAGACAAACCUGAAAGAUGCCCCAGUCUUGGCAAGUAGAGUGCAACUUGUGGAGCUCAAGGUUCUGGUGGUCAUCUUCCAAAAGCAAACGAGACAUGUCGAUGGUUGGUGGCAAAGGAGUGGUGACAGACAAGGAAGGAGGUUGUUGGUUUAUACGAACAAAUGGUUGUGGGAUUGAGAAAUCCGGUGCUGCUAAUUUAACAAGUUCCUGGACGCUAAAUGUUGAAGGAUCGAAGGCAGAGGUGCUGAAAUCAUCUUCAGUGUAUGAUGAUGAUGAUCCCAUAUUGUUGAGGAAGGAGUCAGCCUCUUCAAUCUACAACAUACACCCCAUUGUUGGAGAUAUUUAAAGGGGAAAACAAAGGUUACAGCUGUUUUUGUAUGAGGUAAGAAUACAAUAGGUACAAAAGAAGAUAUUGACUUGGCAACAUGAUAAUUUUAAUAAAAAAAUGGAAAUAGGGUAUGACAGAAUAUGAUAAUGGAUUUUUUUUAUAAAUAUUUCACAAAAAAUUAUUGAUACUUUUUUUUUUCAUUAAAUGCUUAUUUUUAUUUAUCGAAUAAACAAAUUUAAUUUAUGGGAUAUUUUACCCAUCUAACCCACAAAAAACUAAUAUUUAUAAAAAUGACUUUGGUUCAAAAAUAUUUACGAAAUGACCUGAAAUGAACAAUAAAUUUAAGUUUUGGGAACCCAAUGGUCGACAACACCUUGUGUUUUGGCCUCACCAUUACUUGAUGAUUGUGUCAGACUUUAAAAAAAUAAAAUUUUUGAGUUUGGGACAUGAAUGGCUGGCACCAGGGUAUAUUUUUUUUAAAUUGUAUCAUACUGGUAUAUAAAAAAUACUAGUAUUUGAAAUUUUUUUUUUUGGUUUUGGCCAUGUAAUGGUCGGCACCAGAGGCAUUUAAAAUUUUUUUUUUGGAUGCUGGCCAAUAGAUGGCCGGUACCAAGUACAUUUUUCGGCUCCCAAGAAACUUUUUUUUUUUACUUUGGGACACUAACGGCCUGCACUAGUGUCAUUUAAAAUUUUUUUCUUGGUGCUGGCCAGUAAAUGGUCGACACCAAGUCCAUCUUUCAGCUCUUAAGGCAUUUUUUUUUACUUUGGGACACUGAUGGCCCGCACCACCUUUUUCGGGUCCCAAAAAUAUUUUUUUUGGUUUUGGGACACCGAUGGCCGGCACCAACUUUAUCAGAUUAAAAAACAUUUUUUUCUUAUUUUGGAACACUAAUAGCCGACACCAAGUAUUAGAAAAUUAGUUUUCUUAAUUUUGAGAAUCAGAUGGCCGACACCAAAUUUAUCAGAUAUAUAUAGGUGUUUUGUCUUCCAUUUGAGUUUUUGUUUACUUUAUUAGUUGAAAAUCGAGAUUAAAAAUAUCAGUUUUUUCUGUUGAGAAGGAAGCAAAAUUUUUUUAAGAUGAGUUCCCAGAUUUUGUUUGUUUAUGUUCAUUUCGAUGGAGAAAUGAUAAAUACAACUGAAGAAGGCUGUGUAUUUCAAAGUCGGAAAAAAAAUGAAUAAGAUUUAACAAGCGUCUUUCGUUGGCGGAUUUAAAACAAAAAAUCAGUACAAAGAUAGCUACCCGUUGCAAAAAGCAAAUGUUGAGACUGUUUUACAAAAUUUUCGGUUGCAACAGAUCUGCCUAAGUUAUCAGAAAUGGAGCUUGAAGAUGAUGAUGAUCUAGGGACAAUGAUAGCAAUUUAUUGCCCCUCUUGAAAUGGAAAAUCCCAGCCCGGUUGAGUUGUUCGCGAAGAUAGCUGAACUGGAUCCCAUUCAAGUUGUAAUUUCAGCAAGCCAAUGUUUUGGAAUUGAUUUUGAUCUUAACGUCUCCUAGAAAGAUUAGUUGGGUUGUGGACGGUCAAUGCCAACUCCCGAAAAUCCAAAAACCGGUGGAUGUUCAUAUAACAUCCCAAACUCAUGUACUUGUCUAGAGAUCCAUCCACAGGUGUUGGCCACCACAGAAGAUGGUGACGAAGGGUCUGAUAAUGAUGACCAGUCCCACUGUGAUCCCAACGAUGAUUUCAGUGACCCCAGUUUGGAUGACAUCCCUGAAGACAUAGACGAGGAUGACCCGGUGGAGGGUGAUAAUGCAAACCCCCAUUCGGUCGGGAACACGGAACCUGAUAUAGUUAUAAGAAAUAAUCUUGGGUCCUUCAUAACCGACGUAGAUUCUGAUGUGGCUUCUGCACGCGAGUUCUCGGAAUAUACAAAAAUUGGUUGGCUCACCUACUUGAUGAUGAAUUCAACGAUGAAGAGUUGUUCGUAGGACAACAAUUCAAUAACAAGAAAGACUGUUUACAUGCUAUAAAACAACUUAGCUUGAAGUUAGGUGUGGAUUAUAAAGUAACGAAGUCGACGUAGUCUUUGUACGUAGGAGAAUGUUGGAAAGCCUCAAGUGGGUGUAAUUGGCGUGUUCGAGCCGCGUUAAUGCAGCGGACACAAAUGUGGAUAAUAAGGAAACUAGAAGGUCCACACACAUGCACGUCUGCUCGUAUGUCAUAAGACCAUUGAAAGUUAGAUGCAAAAACUAUAUGCAACUACAUAAUCUAUUUGGUGAAAGAGUCACCCACCAUUCAGGUGUCGGUCCUUAUUGCUGACAUGCAAGCUUGAUUCAAGUAUAAAGUGUCGUAUAGAAAGACAUUGUGGGCAAAGUAAAUGGCGAUGCGAGAGUUGUAUGGUGACUGGGAUGCGUCAUGCAACGAGCUUCAAGGGUGGAUAAUCGGGAUGCGAGAGUAUGUGCCUGGGAUAGUGACUGAUUUGCAAACACUGUCGUAUAAAGGCUCGAACAGAUAGAUACAAUUGGGGAAACGAGUUUUUCACUGAUUAUUUUAGACGUGCGUGUGUUAGGGCCUUCCCUCACUACAAGCCGAUGGUGCAGGUGGACGAGGCUUGGUUCUACGAUAAAUACACGCAAAUGCUCCUGAUUGUUGUUGCAUAAGACGUCAAUGGUAUUUCCGAUUGCUUUGGCCAUCGUGGAGCGUGAGUGCUUCAAGUCUUGGAAAUUUUUCUUCAGAAAUCUACGGAGGCACGUUGUUAGAGAAGACAACAUUUUCCUUAUAUCAGAUAGAUCGAAAGGAUUACUUGCUGUGAUAAGGCAAUCAGGGGUUCUGUGGAGGUCUGUUUAUUGCAUCCGGCACAUUGCGAUAAACUUUCACAGAGAUUAUAAGAAUAAAGAUUGGAAAAAAUAAUUCGUGAAUAUGGGUAAAAAAUAUUGUUUGUAUUUAUUUCAAAAAUUCCUUUUCAAAUUUUUUUAGCCUGUAAGUUUUUAAAAUACUAAUUCCAAAUUGCAUAUGCCGCUUAUGAGUUAGAGCUGCAAAGAUUCAAGCAGAGGUUCAUGAGGCUUGAAUCUCAGAUGUCAUCUUUACUAAUAGAUCUCGGGACAUGGUUGGGUAGCAUGGAAAACUAGCAAUAGACUUAAAAUUACGAUGAGGGGUUUCGGUAUGGGCAGAUGAUGACAAACCUGGUAGAGGCGGUUAACUCUUUAUUGAGGCGCACACGUCAUUUGUCGAUUUUUACUGUUUUCUCGGUAACAUUAUAUAGGUUGGACACAUUGAUGCCUAGGAUCGGGUUGAGACAAGCUAAGCAGAUCGAGACCGGGCACGCGUACGUUGAGGCCGUCCGAAAGGCCAUGGCGGUAAAUAGUCAAAGGGCACAAACAAUGAACGCAAAAUUGUAAUCGCGUGACUCGGGUAUUUCACCUAGAUCGUACGCAGUUGAUUUGUGAAACAGGCGUUGUGAGUGCGAGAUAUUUCAGACUCUUCGAUAUCCCUGUGCGCAUGUUCAUGCAGCGUGUGCGAGAGCAAACUUAAAUGUUGAAUAAUUCAUACACGGGAUCUACACAUUGCAACGCACAUUGCGUAUAUGGGGGAACAAAUUUCUUGUAAUCCCUGAUGUCUCAAACUGGGAAGUUCCACUACCUGCUUUCGAGAUGGUGCCUGACCGUAGUUUUCGUAGACAUCCUAAAGGUCGACCACAAUCGACGAGAAUUCGAAAUGACAUGGACGUCAGGGAGACGGGCGAACCCAAACUGUGCACUGUGUGUCGAACAUCCGGACACAACCGAUCAACUUGCCCACAUCGUGUUUAUGUUUUCAGUUAAUCGUCUCGUAAUGCCGGACUCGAAGAUGACGAAUGAUAUAUUAUUGAACGCAUGUUCUUGUAAAAAUAUUGUAAAAAUAUGAAAAAUUAUACAAAUGAUAUACUUUAUUCAAAUUAUACAAUUGAUUAAUUAUAAUUAAUAAUACAUAUUUUUUCUUAUUCCUAAUUUAAAACACAUUAAAUUAUAAUACAAUAUACAUACAUAUUUAUUUUAAAACAGAUUAAAUUAUAUUAAUUCAACUGAAAAUCAAAUAAAGUAAAAAGUGAAAUGAAAAUGAAAUUAAAAUAAGGGAAUGAAAUGAAAAGAAAUUCAAAUUUAAUAGAAAUUAAAGAAAAAAAAAGAGAUUGAUUUGAGGUGAACUGCUAAAAAGAUGAAAUAUAUAAAUUAAUAUGGAAAAAACAUAAAUUAAAAUGGAAAAAAAAAGAUAAUUUAAAUGAAAUGAGAAAAAAAUUAAAUGAGAAAAAAAUAAAUUUAAAUAGAAAAAAAGAUAAUUUAGAUGAAAUGGAAAUAAAAUGAAAAAAAAAGUUGAAAGGACAGGUCAGGCCAGUGUCAGGCUUGCGGCAGGCCUAACAAGCAGACGGCCUGCAGGCACUAGGCCUGCUACGAUGUGACCCAAUAGGUCAGGCUUAAAAAAAACCCAAAAAAGGAAAAAGAGAAAAUUUUAUUUAAAUUUAAAAUUUUGAAAUGAAAUGAUAUUUAAAUUGAGAAAAAACUUAAAUAAAAUAUGAAAAAAUUUAAAUAAUAUGUAAUUGAGAUUACUUCUAAUUAAUAUGAAAAAAAUAUGAAAUGAAUUGAAAAAAUAAUUUGAAUUGAAAAAAGAUAAAUUGAAAUUAGACUACUUGUGAUUCAUAUGAAAAAAAAAAUUGUAUAUUAGAAAAAAUAAAUUUAAAUGGAAAAAAAAUUAAUGAAAUGAAAUGUUAAAUGAAUAUGAAAUGAAAUGUAAUUUGUAAUGAAUAUGAAAUGAAAUGAAAUGAAUUUGUAAUGAUUAUGAAAUGGAAUGAAAGUUUAAAAGAAAAUAAAUUAUAAAUUGAAAUGAAAACAAAAACUGAAAUGAAAAAAAAAUUAAUAUCUGACUACUUGUUAUUAAUAUGAAAAAAAUUGAAAUGAGAAAAAAUUAAAUUUAAAUGGAAAAAAAGAUAAUUUAAAUGAAAUGGAAAUGGAAAUGAAAUGAAAAAAAAAAGUUGAAAGGACGUGUCAGGGCCUGUGUCAAGCCUGCGCCAACUUCAGGCCAGUCAACAAUGGCCAAGAAUUGGCUGGCACCAAGCCCAUUCGGCCUUCCAUUGGCCGACACUAGCAAGCUUGGUGCGAUGUGACCCAACGGGUCAGAAAGUGAAACAAGUUUUUUUGGUUUUUUUUUUCCAAUUUUACCUCUGCUCAGCCACUAUGGUCCCCCACUAUAAAUGAGGUACUUCAACCUAAAACCAGAUCACCACCGUUGAUAACUGCCGUUCACCAUCGACCGUCACUGUUAACUGCCGACCGUCACCGUCCUCUGCCGACCGACAACCGUCGAUUAUCUCCAAUCACCUUUCACAACCUUCGUUCACCGUCGACCAUCGUCAAUCACUCGAUGGAUCCUAAUCCUAAUUCUAAUCCUAAUCCUAAUAUUUUUUUAAAUGACAACAACCACAUUGCUAAAAAUGUGAAUAAGGUAAACGAGAAGAAAAAAUGUCCCGUUUAAUUUUAAAUAUUCAUUUAAAUUAUUUUUUAAACGAGAAAUAUAACAUUUUAUAUUUACUAUAAACGUAGGGUCAGUAUCGAAUUGUGAGGCCCUGGUUGUAUGAUCUUGGUUAUUUUUUCGAUAAAAGAGUUUUACCGUAUUUGAACAUCGCGGGUUUUAAGGUAGCCGUGUACAUUAAGAUAUCUGAGCUGCGGGCCAAUUUAAUAUCGAUCUUAGUAUAAAGAUGGUGCCCGGAGACACAUACGUUCCACCUCCCGUGUGGGGGUAACUAUUACACUGCAAGAUGUAGCAGUCCAAUUAGGGCUGUUUAUAAAUGACGAAGCAGUGACUGAGUUUGGAAAAGUGCUCGAUCCGUGGGGUACUUGCUAGCGGUUACUUGGAAGAGUGCUCCCAACAAUGAGGAAGAACGAUUAACCAAUAUUAAAUUUACCUGGUUGAGAGAAAACUUCCAGCAUCUUUCGAGUAGUCCAAUGCAGAUGGGCAUUAUCUACGCUGCAAGAGCGUUCAUUCUGCAAUUUAUAAGUGAGAUGCUUUUGUCGGACGUCCAUCAAAAUAAAGUCAACAUCAUGUAUCUCCCUUUAUUAGAGGAUUUCGAGCUUGCCAGAAGAUUUAGUUGGGGCUCUACAGUAUUGGCAUGCUUAUACCGUGAGCUUUGUCGAGCAACAAAGUCGUCUACAAAAACAAUGGGCGGUUGCUGCGUUCCACUGCAGUUUUGGGCGUUAUACCAAAUGCCAUUUCUAGCAUCAGUGAGCCACCAAUUGUAUGUGUGGCCACUCGUGAACUGGUAAAUAUAUAAUUCAAUUUUGACAUCUAUUUUUUAAUUGUAUAGUAUAGUAUACUCAUUUUUGCAAGGAAAAAUAUCUGAUAAUUUAUUCUUUUUUUUAGAUGGGUAACUGUACCGAGAAUCAGACGAUCGUUCACCAUACCUGUAUACCGUAUGAUGAUCGAGACUCAUUCCAGGGAUGGCGUGAAAUACGCUUCUGAAUCUUUCUUUUUUAAAUACAAUAAUUGUACAAAAAAAUUAACUAAUAACAUGUUGUCUAUAUUAUGCAGUUUUUAUGGAUGCUAUAUGUUGAGGAAGGGAUCGCGACGUUCAUACCAUCAUGGGUUACCGAGCAGCAACAACUAUUUGUGUCAAAUGUUCCAUUGAUUCAUUUUCAUAUGGUAGAGUGGCACGAUGGAGGUCGGGUAUUGAGGUAGUUCGGUUGCGCACAACCUAUCCCGAACCCUCCCGUCAACAUCAAAGAAGUCAUCGGAAUGGACAAAAAGGGUUCGGGUCGGGACAUUUUAAAUUGGGCAGAAAAAGAUGAAACAUAUAUCUUUUUGUGGCAUGAUCGACAUUCAAGGCGCCCUCCCUUGUAUAUCUUAGAGGGAGGGUUCUCUCCUACGCGUGAGUAUGCAGAAUGAUAUAUGGCAUACGGGAAGCCUUUUAUAUUCUAAGGUCAUUAUAUGUUGAUCCCGAAAGACGCGAGACCAAAAUCUUCUCGAUGGCAACAGAGGAACGCACGAUUGUGCCGUAAUCGAGUUUCGCCAUUCAGGAGCAUCGAAACUGAUUCUACCUAGAACCCCGAUCCCGAGCCUCAAUAUGAAGCAUCCGGCUCGUCAUCAUACCACUUGGAGUCGGAGCCCGAGCCCCAAUUUCCUCUAUUGGUCGAGGAUAUUUUUGGUGAUGACCCCGAGCCUUAACAUUCGACACGGUCCGAAUUGUCUUCAUACCACCCGGAGCUCGAUCGAGAAGCACAUACACCUAUUACUAAGGAUAUUCUUCCAUCGGCACCUCAAGUCACGCAAUACCUCUUAACUCUCGAUUAUGGUGUAUAUAAUUAUACUACUUUUCUAAGUACACCGGAUGGGAUACCGGAGGUCAGACCGAGCAACUAUCAAAUGCCUCAGCAAGAUGCACGACAUCGCCAAUGAAGGCAGCCGAACCGUUACACACCAACGCUGGGGACGUCGUCGAGAUCACGACAAUUUGAUUUUUAUCUUUAAAUAUUUACUUUAUUUUGUAAUUAUUCUAUUUUAAUAUUAAUUUAAUAUCUCUAAAAUAAGUAUUUGUUUGAAUAAAUGACUUCGAAAUAUUUAAUAAAAAAUAUAUAAUUUGAAUAAGUAAUAGUACACAACAAAUUAAAUUUACAAAUACAAUAAAAUACAAAUAUUCUUGAAUAUUAAUAUACAAAAAUAUAAAAUUUAAACAAAAAUAAUAUGCAUUAAAUUAAAUUUAAACACCCAAAAAACUAUAAACAGAUGGGUAAAUUUAAUACACAAAAAUUUUAAAUUCAAACUACAUAUAACAGAAACUAAAUUAAAUUUAAACACCCAACAAACUAAAAACAGAUGGGUAAAAUUAAUACACGAAAAUUUUAAAUUCAAACUACAUAUAAUACCGGCUAAAUUAAAUUUACAGAUACAAAAAAAUACAAACAUUCUAAGAAAUUAAUACACAAAAAUAUAAAAAUGAAACAUUAAAUCCUAAACAACUACAUUGAAUUUACAGAUAUAAAAAAUACAAAUAUUCUAAAGAAAUAAUAUAAUUAUUUUGGAUAGUAGUUUCUUCACAAUUAGUCGUCUUAUACUUGAAUCGGGUCUACGUUGCAUCAGUACCCCACUUAUAAGUUGCGGAAUAAACGCUCUUGCACCAUAGAUAAUGUCCAUCUGCAUUGGACAUCUCGGUUAGCCAUUUAUGAUGCAAUAAGUCAUCCUACCCUUAAUGGCAUAACCUUUAAGGUUGACAUGGCAGUAUAUAAUUCAACUCUGUUAAAACAUGAUAGUAUAUAAUUAAACCCCGAAAUUCGGUUGUACACUACAAAAAACUUACAUCUACAAUCCAUUACAAAAAACUCAUUUGAUGAUAGACUAUAAAACAUUCUCAUUUUGAUGGCUCUCUCAAAAAAAAAAUCUCAUCCAUUUACACUAUCAGAACCCAAACCACCCCCUGUAUAUAGAGUGAGGGGAGGUUUCGACCAUUUGAUUCCCAAAAUUAAUAAAAUUAAUAUUUUAAUACUUGGUACCGGCCAUCAGUGUUCCAAAAUAAGAAAAAAUAAUUUUUAUAAUCUAAUAAAGUUGGUGCCGGCCAUCGGUAUCCCAAAACAAAAAAAUUUUCGGGACCCAAAAAAGGUGGUGCCGGACAUCAGUGUCCCAAAGUAAAAAAAAAGUGCCUUAGGAGCCGAAAAAUGUACUUGGUGCCGGCUAGCUGCUGGCCGACACCCAAAAUAUUUCUUUAAAUGACACUGGUGUCGGCCAUCAGUGUACCAAAGUAAAAAAAAAAGUGCCUUGGGAGCCGAAACAUGUACUUGGUGCCGACCAUCUACUGGCCAGCACCCAAAAUUUUUUUAAAUGACACUGGUGCCGGCCAUCAGUGUCCCAAAGUAAAAUAAAAGUUCAUUGGGAGCCGGAAAAUGUACUUGGUGCUGGCCAUCUAUUGACCAGCACCCAAAAUUAUUUUUUUAAAAUGCCCAUGGUGCCGACCAUUACAUGGCCAAAACCAAUUUUUUUUCAAAUACUGGUAUUUUUGUAUACUAGUAUGAUACGAUUUUUAAAAAAAAUACCCUGGUGUCGACCAUUCAUGUCCUAAACUCAAAAAAUUCAUUUUUUAAAGCUUGACACAAUUAUCAGGUAAUGAUGAGGCCAACAUACAAGGUGAUGCCGACCAUUGGGUUCCCAAAACCCAAAUUUACUGUUCAUUUCAGGUCAUGUUGGUGAAUGUUUUUGAACCAGGGUUAUUUUUGUAAAUAUUAAAUUUUUUGGGUUAGAUGAGGAAAAUAGCCUAAUUUAUGAGUAAAAUUUGUGGGUGGACAUAUAAUCAAAACGAGAUCAAUGUAAUAUUAGCCGUACUCAAAAGAGAAAUAUUUAACGCACUAAUUACAUUCAUGAUCUAAAAGAGAUAAAGAUCAAUUUUACAUUACAAGAUAUAAUUUUUGUCCGGAUAAAAUUACAAGGCUUUCUCACAAAUAUUAUGACUCAACAAGGUAUAACUUUUGCAUGGAUAAAAUUAGAAAUCCUCCUCACAAAUUUUUUAGUUCAUUUGUAAAGUUUUACUUAUUAAUUUUGAUAUAACAAAUAUUAUAUUUUGAAUAAAAUUCAUUUUAAACAUAACAAGAAUUUCAUUUUAAAUGAUAUCUAAAAGAAAAAUGGUUGAACUCAUACUUUAAAAAUAUUUUUGAAGCAAAAUUAGUCAAACAAACUUUAACAUUCUUCAGACAUAUUAAAAUUGUUCAUUGCCAAAAAGUAUCGACAAGUAUCGAUAAAUUUAAAUGAGUAUCAAUAGAUUCACAAAUUUAUCGAUACAUUUUUCAGUACCGAUACAAAAAUGACAUUUUGUUUUUAAAAAUGUUUACCAAGUAUCAGUCCGGUAUCGAUACCUUUUGUUGGGUAUCGAUAAAUUUCUUCAAGUAUUGAUAAUGAUAUACUUUUAUCGGUACAUUUAUCGAUAUCGAUACGAAAUUGACAUUCUGACUUCCAAAUCUUUUAUCAAGUAUCAAUACGGUAUCGAUACCUCAUAUUUGGUAUCGAUAGAUUUUCCUAGGUAUCGAUAGUAUUGGUUCCAACUGUCACUAAAUUAGGCAUUAAAUGCUAUUGGUAUCGAUACUUGUAGAAAAAACAUCGAUACCUGUUGUUGUAGGUGACAUUUAUGCACUGGUAUUUUCAUCCCCAACAACUCUAUUCAAUAUCCCAACAACCACAACGGUUGGAAAUCAAUUGAAGGGUAUAACUAUCAGCUUCUAAAUGUCUUACAACAACAAGAGAGAUUAUUGAAGCAUAAAAAUCAAUCAAACAACCUUUGUGCUUAAUAUUUUCAUACUUUUCUUACAUACACUUGUGAGUUUCAUUGUUUAUCUAUCAGCUCAAGUUUUUUUCUUUGUAAUUAUGCUUAAUUGACAAACACUUUGAUCUUAUCAGAGUUAUUUAUUAGUUUGCUUGUUUGUUUCUCUUUGAGAAGGUUUGAGUCUUAAGAUUUGUGUAGAAAUCUUAAGAGAGUUGUAAGGUUAAACCUUAUCCUCAAAAGUUGAUCAUAUUAAUGAAUUUGAGAAAAUCCUUAGUUGUGAAAAGCUAAGGUAAUGGAGUAAGAGUUUGGGACCGAACAACUCUAAAUCAUUGUGUUCAAUUUUUCCAUCCUUUCUCUCAAGAUUCCACAAAAUUUUUAAAAUCCAAUUCACCUCCUUUUAGCAUUUUCAGAUUGAUUUAUUGAUCAAACAAUUGAUAUUAAAGCUAGUCUCUAAAAGAUAGAUUGGCAACUAAAAGAAGAUCUUCGGGAAAACUCUUCCAAUCGUCAACUCAAUUCACAAAGAAUGACGUUUACUUCUAGUCUAGUUUUCUAUGGAGAAUCUCAAUCUAUCUCCAAGCCUCAUUAUUUCAAUGGUGCAAAUUAUUCUUAUUUGAAGAUGAGGAUGAUGUUAUUCAUUCAAGGCAAUACCUUUUGGCAUGAGAUAUCAUCAUAGAUGGUCCCCCUAUUCCACUCAAACAAGAAGGAGAGCUUCUAGUUCCAAAGAGUAAGAAAGAAUGAAAUGAGAAAGAUAGCAGGAGCAUUCAAUUUAAUGCCAAGGUUAUGCACACUCUAUUUUGUAUAUUUGGUCCCGAAGAGUAUAGUAGGGUGUCAUCAUGUGCCAAUCUUAAGGAGAUAUGAAACAAUCUUGAAGUCACUUAUGAAGGUACAAAUCAAGUGAAGAAGUCCAAAGUUGGAAUUUUUACUCCCAACUACGAAACCUUCAAAAUGAAGCCCGAGGAGGACAUCAAGGUAAUGUCCAAUCAAUUUACUAUAAUCAUCAAUAGAUUAAAGUCAUAUAGGAAGACUUAUCUCAAUGAAGAGGUAGUGAGAAAAAUACUUUGAAGCUUGCCUAAAUCAUAAGAAACUAAAGUAACUGCUAUUGAAGAGGCAAAGAAUUUAGAAACACUUACUCUAAAUGAGCUUAUCAGUUCUUUUCUUACAUAUGAGAUGGGGCUCAAAGAAGGGGUCAAAGAAAAUGUUGAAAAUAAGAAGGUCGAUAUAUCCAUCAAAUCCACAACAAUUGAAGAGAGUGAUUCAAGUAACGACGUGGAUAAGGAUAAAGAGAUAGUCAUGUUUGCUAGGAGAUUCAAAAGGUUCAUGAAGUCUAAUAAAAGAAGAUGAUUCCAAAAGAAAGAGGGAUUGAAACUUGAGUCCACUAAAGACAGAGAUCCUAUCAUUUGCUAUGAAUGCAAAAAGUCGGGACACGUCAAAUUCGAUUGUCCACAAUGGAAUAAGAAGGGAUCAAGCAAACAAAAGCUCAAGGUUAACAUUGCUACUUGGAGUGACGAAGAUUCUUCCAAUGAAGAUGAGCAUGAAGUAGCCAAUCUUUGCCUUAUGGCCAUAAAUGGACCAAAGGUAACUUCUAACUCAUCUAUUUCAAUUUUUUAUUCAUUUGAUGAGUUACAAGAUGCCUAUGAUGAACUAGGAUUAAAGUUUAAAAUUAUGAUUUCAAAAUAUAAGGAAAACAUUUCAAAAUUAAAAGAUGAAAAGAGUUCACUCUCCAAGACUAAUCAUGAACUUGAAAAUAAAAUAAAUGACAUGCAAGCUAUUAUAAAUGAUUUUGUGAAAAAGAAUUGACUUGUAUAAUUUGUUUUCUAAAGUUCGUGAUGAUCACGAAAAGCAACUUGAGUUGCUAAAGAUUGAAAAAACUCACUCUAACAAAGAUUUACCAAAAAGAUUUGAUAAAGGAGAAAGUUUAAAACAAAACUUUGUUGAACUAGUUUUAAUUUCUAUAAACAUAGAGUUCCCUUAAGAUUCUACAAGGUAAAACUUGUUAAAAGUGUAUGGGUCCCUAAAGUUAGUGCUACUCAAGACAAGGAAGCUCUUUCAAAAUGGAUACCUAAAGGGAGUAAGAUUUUAGGAACUAAUGCUUAUAGACCCAAAAGAAUUUGGGUACCAAAAGAAUUUGGGUACCAAAAAUCAAAGUUUAAUUUUAUGUUUGUAAGGAAAUGAGCAUUGCUUCAAAGUGGAAAAUUCAAGAUAAACUCAUGGUACCUUGAUAGUGGAUGCUCAGGACACAACCUGUGGCAUGAGUCAUUUUAUCAAAUUGAAGCCAAAAAGUGGAGGAGAAGUUACGUUUGGUGACAACUCCAAAGGAAUUAUUGAAGGAAUUGACUCUAUUGGUAAAAACUCUUCAAUAUUUAUUGAAAAUAUCUUAUAUGUUAACGGUCUUAAGCAUAAUCUCUUAAGUAUUAGUCAAUUGUGUGAUAAAGGUCUCAAUGUCAUCUUUGAAUCUAAUGGUUGUAAAGUAAUUGACAUUGUAUCUAAUAAGAUUGUGCUUGUAGGACAUAAAAUAGGAAAUAUAUACAUGGUGCAUUUAGAUGAAAUGCAUGAAUUAAACAUAUUCCUUAAUGCUAAAAAUGAAAAUAAUUCUUUUUUGUAGCAUAAGAAAUUAGGACAUGCUAGCAUGAGCAUAUUGCAUACAUUAGCCAAAAAUAACUUAGUAAGAGGUUUUGCUUAUACAUUGUGAAAACUCUUAUAGUAUUCUAAUAUAUUGAAUUUGCUAAAUGUGAUUUAAGCUAUGUAAUUUGAAUAAAUAUGUUUAUCGAUUACUUUGGUUGUCUUGUGAUGGAACUCACACAGAGCUUUCAUAGCUCACCCAUUUAUUUUCUUACUUUUCAGAUAACCCAUAAUGUUAGGAUACGGAAUAUUGAUUUAUAUAUAAAAGUAUUUUAGACUGAUUAUUUUAUAAUUCUGGUUGUUUGAAACUAUAUUAAUAUUAUUGUGGCAUGAGACUUAGUUUACAAUUUUAACUUAAUGCAUGCAUGACAUUUAAUCAUUCAAGUUUUUAGAAUAUGAAUUUUAUCUAAUUAUACAUGAAACAUGAUUUUUAUUAAAACGUUAAUAUCGCUUUUCCCUGCUAAAUUGCAAAUGUGUUUUGUUAAGAAAGUAACUCGGAUUUUCAACUCAACAUUAACAACGUUAUAAUGAAGAUAUUAAACUUAAUCAUUUUUUUGAAACUCUGAGUUUUUCUGAAAAGAGACCAAAACUUCUAAAAUAAACAAACGUUUCUUCGAGAAAGUUACAAUACUAAUCUAAUUAAUUCUCAACUAAAUCUAUUAAUAGAAAAAAUUGACUUGUAAUGAUGUGACUACAUGAUGUUAUAAUUUUAUGAUUAAUUAUUGUUUAUUAUGCCAAGAAAAUAGGUAGCCAUAUGCAGUUGGAUUGAUGACAAUCAUAAAGCAACAUAAACCUAAAAUAUAUGAUUUUGCUCCAAUUUAAACGUGCUUAAUUGUAUUUUUAUUCAAAAGUCGUUACAUUUGAUUUGACAUUAUUACUUUUUUUAAUUUUGUAAUAAAAUAAUUUUAAUCAAAGUGUUGUAAAUAAAUCAAAGUUGUGGGAGGAGAAACACUCAUAUUAUUCAAGUAUCAUUGUUACUUAAAACUGUAUUUCUUUAAUAAAAUUUUAAUUUUAUAAGAAAACAAUUUUUUAUCUAUGAAGUGAAAACAGGAUUAUUUAAUUAUGUCUUGUCUUUCAUUUUGAAUUAGUGUAUUUAAGUUUUAUAUCGGAAAAUUACUUUUUCUUCUAAAAUCAAUUCAUUUUCAAAAGAAAUUUUUUUAGUAUAAACAAUUGUAACUUAAUAAUAUUAGUGAUUAUUAUGUAAAAUUUGAUGGUUGAAUGAUUGAAACGUAAUUUUAUACAAAAUUUAGGGAUUGUUAAUAUAGUUUACCUAAAUUAUAUAUAAUUAUUUUAUCAUGUAUUUAGUCACUAUCAUUUAUUCAAAUUAUUGAAGAUCCAUAAAUUUUUUAAUAAUUUUUAUUUAAAAAAGCAAUCUAAAACUGAAAAUUUAGCGACUUUAUUUUUUUUAAUUGUUAGUUAACCUGUUAUAUUUUAAUUGAAAAUAAUGAAUAUUUUUUAUAUAUGUAAUUUAUUAAAUUUAAUUUAAUUAAUAAAAUUACAUACUUAAAUGAAGAAAGUUUAAUUAAUUUUAUAUUUAAAUAAUUUAAUAAAAUUAUAUAUUUAAAUAAGAUAAUUGAUCAGCUUUAAAAAAGUUUAAAAUAUUUAUUUUAUAGCUUUAAAGUUCAAUAAAAUACGUAUAUAUUAUAUUUUAAUUGGCUUAAAGGAAUGUUAGCAUAAUUUGAGUUUGUAUAAGUGAAUUUGAUUUGCCUUAGUGUAAAUUUAUGGCUAAUUGAUUUGAAAGAUGUAAAUUAGUUAAAAUGAAAUAUUUAGGUAUGUUUUGAAAUAGUUUAUGCAGGAUAUAAGUGUGCAUUAUGCAUUAAUUGUGUUAAUGGUUUGGUUUGGCAUGAAAUAUGUAUCAAAUGGUUUAAAAUGUACAAAAAAAUAGAGUCCACAUCGAGACAAUAAACUCGCCUUGUCACAACGCUGGCUGGCAGUUUGUGACUUCUCGACAUCGAGUGGUCAAACAUCGCAAUGUGACAAACUAUUUGGCAACAUCACAACAUGGAGGAGGCCGACAUCGUUUUUAAAAUUUUACAAUUUGGUCCUAAAUCUUGCUCGAGUCAACAAAAGAGCUUUUGUGAGCUCCAUUAAGGCUCAGAUUUAGUUGAGAAUCAUAUUAUGAAUGUGUUUUAAGUCAUAAAUAUUUGUUUGGUUGUUAUAUUUACUGUAUUCUAUCAGAAGUUGCUCUGGUAACGGAUUUGACAUCUCGUAACUCAGAUUCGACGAUUGGGUCAGGUGAGGGGUGUUACAAAUACUUCCGUACCAAAUGCAUCAUGGAUGAUGUCGCUUUGUUAUAGUGGCGUCGUAGGUCUAGAGAUGAGAAAUGAGGUGGAGCUACCACUGGGACUUGAGAGGAAUUCCAGAGUAAUUUCAAUGGGCAAUUUUACCUAGAGUAUGUCGAGGAUGAGGCUCAGGCUAAGUUCCGCCGGCUUAUGCAACAACAUACAAUAGGACAUAUGUAAAGAAGUUCAGUGAGCUGAUGCUCCAAAUUUUUGAUUCGGGUGAGAAGAAGGUAUUUUUAUCCUUUAUGGAUAGGCUAAAACCGUGGGAAAAGCAAAAUUUUCAAUGCUAAGGGGUUACAAAACUUCCCAAAGCUAUGACCAUAGCGGAGUCCUUAAUCGAGAUUGUUCCGAGGAAAGACAAAUUUGAGUCUUCCAAGGCUAAAGAGAAGGGAAAUGGUAGGGGAGAUGAAGGACAAGUUGGGAACAGUAACGAUAAUAGUGGUAAUGGGAAACCAGAUAACGGGAAGUGGAAGCCUAACAACAAACCAAAGAGGCCAAUGAAAUGCUUCAUUUAUGACGAUCCACAUAUGGUAAAGAACUGUCCGAAACGAUCCGUGCUUUUUUCUAUCAAAUGGGACGAUUAGUCAAACAAAGCAUCGAUGAAGUUUGGUUCAAUUUUGAGUUCUGUCGAUGCCAAGCGGGGAAAAGAGAAUAAGAAGAAGCUAAUGAAGUGGUUCUUAUGUUGUGAUACGUAUAGGAUACAAGACUAUCCAGAGCGAUCUAAUUUGUUUGCAAUCACUAAAAAAGAUGAAAUGGAGCUAGAGAAUGAGGCUUUAAAGCUUGGGUCAAUGAUACUCAAUUCUGGUAAAACGAAGAGAGAUCGCAAACAAAAAGGGUUGAUGUUUGUAGACAUCAACAUCGUAAGCCGAAGAAUGAGUGCUCUUGUUGAUAAUGAGGCAUUUAACUUGUUUAUACCGGAGAAAGCCGUGGGUAAACUUAGUCUCACAGUUAGCAAAUCGAUCAAGAAGAUCAAGAUAGUUAAUUCCAAAGAGGUUCCAACCAUGGGAGUAACAUAAUGGGUUGAGCUACAAAUCGGCGAGUGGAAAGGCAAUGAAGACUUUGGUAAUUCAUUUAGAUGAUUAUGAAUUCGUGCUUGGCUUGAAUUUCCUCACUUGAAUUAAUGCUUUUUUGGAUCCUCUUUCUGAUUGCGUAACACCUUGUUAACGACCCAAUCACCAAGUCUGAGUUACUAGGUGUCACAUUUGUUGCCAGAGAAACUACAAUCAACUACAUUUCAUUUAUACUAUUAAAUGACUAAUUUCAACCAAUACAUGCAUACAAUACGAUAUACAACCGUUUCUACAUUUUAAACGAGCUUACGAAUACUCUGAAGCUAACUCAAGGUAAAAUUAGUACCAAAUUUAAAAAAUCUUAAAACAUCGGAUUGACGUCGCGACGUCAAGGGGUUCCUCGUCAUGAUGCAAUCUACUGAGUGGGCCUCACCGCAACAAUCAAUACCGGACAUCACGUUGUGGCAUGGCAAGUUGUUCUCAUCGCGAAAACAAAUGUUAAAUGUCAUGACAUACUGAUUAGGGGUGAGAAAAAUUCGAUUCGACUCGAAAAAAUUGAACAAAAUUCAAAUUUCGAGUUAAACGAAUCGAGUUAUUCGAGUUAUUCGAAUCAACUCGAAUUUUUUUUUCAAAUUUCGAGUUCGAAUCGAGUUGGGUUUUUGAAUUCGAAUAAUUCGAAUAAUUCAAAUAUCAAACUAUAAUAUUUUAUAUUUUUACCCCAAACUCCCAAACCUCCAAACCUUUUUACUUUUCCCUCAAAACUUUUACUCCUUCCCACUUUCCCCCAAAACUUUUACUCCCCUCCCCUCCCCUCCCAACCCCCCAAUCUACCCAAAAUUCAUUUCCCACCAAAAUUUUACUCUCCCAUUUACUUUUUCUCAAAAUUUUACUUCCAAAAACCCUCAAAACCUUUUAUUUUUCCCCAAAAUUUGUACUCCCUCCCACUUUUUCCCUAAAACUUUUAUUCCCUUCUCAUCCUACCCCUCAUCUACCCCAAACCCUCCCCCCUCCAAUUUUUUUUAAUAUUUUCCUCCAAAAUUUUACUCCCCCUAUUUACUUUCCCUUAAACUUUUAUUCCCCAAAAAUUUUUAUUUUCUCCCUAAACUUUUACUUCUCACCCUUUACUCUCAAAUAAAAAAUCAAAAUUAUCCCCAAAAAAAAUCACUAAACAUAAAUAGUAAUAAUUUUAUUUAUAUCUACUAUUUAUAUUAUUAAAUUAAAUUUCACAUUUUAUAUUAUUUAUAUUAUUGAAUUGUUUAGUCAUAUUGAAUAUUUAUAUUAAAAUUGAAUUAUUAAUUAUGCCAUAAAAUAUUCGUGUUAAAAUUUUAUAUUAGUAUCAAUUUCACAUUUUAUUUUUAAAAUAAUUUAUAUUAAAAAAAUCAAAUUUUUACAUUUAAAAUAUUUUUUAAUUCCAAAAUACAUAGUGACAAGAAUCUGAAGAUAAUUGAAACAACUAAGCAAGCAAAGAAGCUAACCAGUAUAUAAAAAAUUAAUAAAUAAAUUAUAAGGUGAUGAAAGUUAAUAAAAAAUUUGAUUAAGGUGGACAAAUUUUAUUACGAUGGGUGACAGUGGUUAUAAGGACACAAAAUUAUUUUUUAAAAUUUAACUCGAACAAAUAUAUUCGAUUCGAUCCAAUUCGAAUUCCAUCUCACUCGACUCGACUCGAGAAAACUUCAAAUAAAGUUAGGAUGAUAAAAUGAGAUUCGAAAACUCGAUUAACUCGAAAAUUUUUGAUUCGAUUCGAUUCGAUUCGAUUCGAUUCGAUCGAAUGCCCACCCCUAAUACUGAUUUCAAAUGGUCAGGUCUUAGGGUGAGUUUGGAUGGGCGGUGCGUUUACCUGCGGUUAGUGUAAAAACAGCGGUGGCGGUGAGAUUAGAUACUGUAACGAUAAUGUAGCGUGAGACAAAAAGUAAGCUAAACGCACCACACCGCACUCAAUCGCUCAUCCAAACCCACCCUUAGCCUUUGGCCUCUUCUGCGAAACUCUAAACGUAGAAAGAGUUGGAGUCCGUUUAAAAUGCCUCAGAAGAAAAGUAAAAGGCAAUGGCGAAGAUCUUCAACCUGAAUACAUGAUUUAAGGCAUUUUGCAAAGAAUUUUGCUUUCCAGCUAAAGAGAGAUACAACUAAGGAUAAGACAAAAUGAACCGAUCAUUGACUACUUUUUUAUUCUUUUACGGAUUUUCUAGGUGGGAUCUCAACUCGUUAAUCAAGUUAUAGUUUGAGCAGCCAAACAUUGAAGAAUGUUUAUGACUGAGUUGGGAUUUAAAGCUGUGUUAUUAUGCAGCGAUGGUGAUGAUGAUGAGACUGUUUCUUCUUUUCACCAUCUUUUAGCACCAAUUUACUAACAGUUAUAGUGUUGUUUGGCGAUACCGUUUAAAGGAGGUAGUAAGGAUAGUGUUGUUGGCGAGCAAAAUGUUUAUUGGGUUGCAAGUUUUAUUGGAUUAAUUAUGGGUUUCGAUUUUUCCAAAUGCUUACGUGGAUCACCAUCAGAGACCAGUGCUUUCACCGGUCGUCAUCUUUGAUGGUUUCAAAGUGCUCAUCGUUCUUGCGUUCACAAUUAGAAUGAUAAUCUUGUGGUUAUGAUGUCUCCAAAGGUAUGGUUGUCACCCAAAUAAAAUUUGCACCAAUCUGGUUUUUUACUCUUUUGUCACUUGUCAAUUUCGUUCUUUUUCUGCUAUUUAUUUAGGUUAAUUUUUGCUAUUAGUUCCUGCACUUUAUGAAAAUUGUGGAUUUAAUCCUUAUACUUUAAUUUAGUAAUUUUAAAUUUUUAUACUUUGUUAAAAUUUAAAAUUUCAAUCCUCACCAAAUUAUAACAAUUAGAUUCGUUAAGUUCUACUAUCUUCAAAAUCUAAUGCCACAAACAUAUUACUGCCAUCUGUGUUAAGAAUAAAAUUUCAAAUUUUGAAAAGUAUAAGGACUUCGAAUGAUUUAAUUGGAAAAUAUAGACUAAAUCUACAACUAUAUGCAUAGUACACAAUAGGUAAUUGAGUUUAACCCAACGAAUUCAACUGCUACUGCUUGGAUGAGGACUACAAUUUAAAAAUUCAAAAAGUACAUGGACUAAAAUUGAUAAAAUAAAUUAUAAAGACUAAAUUCACAACUUUUGCAAAGCACAUGGACUAAUUGCAGAAUUUGACCUCUUAUUUACAUUAUUUGAUACAAUAGUUAUACACACCAUAUAAGGGUAAGGCUUAACAAUCCCAAUAACCUAGGACCACUAGCCAUAUCUAGGGGACUGACACCAACUUGACUACAGACUCCAUGUAUAAAAAAGCGUAAAAGUAAAUCCAAAAACCCUUAAAAAGCUUCACCUUACACCAUCAUUUUCCUUAUUAUCUUUAUUCUUUCUAUCAAUAAAAAGCAUAAACUCAGUCGCCAUUUUCAGAAGGUUGAAUCCUCAUAUAAUCCAAAUAUUUUUUUCCAUAGAUCUUGAGGGUGAAGAACUGUUUGAAGUAUUCCUCCAUUCCCACCCUUCUAAACAAUGGAGGGUUUUCUGCAUUUAUAAGACUCAAUGAAGGCCCUACCUCCGCCUCAAAGUUAGGACUCAAGUUGAAGGUAACUGUUAUUCUUUCUCUCUCUUUAUUGCAAAUAACCUUGUGUUCAACGCUGUGAUAAACCCCGUUGCUAAAUAUCUGCAUUUAACAUUUACACAUUUCUUAUAUACAUGCAUACAUAGGAAUAUGUGUUUUGUAAUAGUAAUGUGAAAAACUGGGUAGGGUGUUCUAUUAUUCAUUAAAUUAUGGUAAGUUUUUGUUUUACUCAUUUAAUUAAAAAAAAGUUAUAAUUUAAUCACAAAUUAUUUAAAAAUUCACUUAAGUUACUGGACUAUUAAAAUUAAUGUUAUAUGACUUUUUUUGUUUGUACUAAUAAAAAACUAUUAUUUUCUUUUUCUUUCAUGAAACAACUUUGACAUUGGCGGUCAUAUUUGUUCUACUCAUCGAUGAGUAUUGAUCCAUCAUAUCAAUCGUCAAAUCAUUACUUGGAGUUCGUUAGAGGAAUUAAAAAAAAAAUAAUCACCUAAUAACCUAAAUAAAACUUUCAAAUAAUUCAGCGAUCAAAUUGUAACUUUUUCUAGUUAAGUGAUCAAAAUAAAAACUUAUUUAUAAUUUAGUGAAUAAUGGUAGAAUUUACCAAAAAAAAAAAAAAUCUUUGGACCUGGAAAAUGUCUCCAACAUUGACCACAAAAGCAUCUGGGUUGACGUUGAAAGGGAACCAAAGGCCAUUUUUUUUAACCUCAAGGCCAUCCACUCCAUUAAGUUGGUUUAGGAUAGUGAGGACAGUCAUAUCAGAGUGUGGAAUAAGACCCAUCACCGACUCUGGUUGUGGACAUGGAGGAUAAUAUGCCAUCCUCACCGCUUGCAUCCCAUCAUCAAUCAACUUCAUCAUCUCCUUUUCUUUAAUUUUCAAUGCUUUUCCCAUGAAACCAAUAAGUUUUGUGGCAAGCUUUUGGAGUUCCGAUAAGUAACACUCCAUCGUACUUCUGCAUCAUGAUGAUGAUGACAUCCAUUAAAUAUUAAGUAAACAUCACUUUAUGAGAAGCUUAAAGCAAAGAGGGAAAGAACCUUAAAGAAGGAGGUAGUUGUGGGAAGAGAUGAGGGCUGCGCCUAUGGAGUGGGUUAGUGAUAAUAUUGAAAGUGUCAACCCAAUCAUAUUUGCCAUCUGCUCUCAUCCUCCUUCCAUACCCUUCCAACUCUCCUUCCCUUAUUUUGUAUUUCAGUUUCUCUUCCAAUGGCAGCCUAUAAAAUUCCUCCACCUCGUGCUUCAGUUUCUCCAGCAGUGAUGAGCUAACCCCAUGGUUCACCAACUGCACCGGUAUCACCAUAUCCAUUCAUUAACUACACUCAAUCAUACAUGCAUACAUAUAUAAAAUUUAGUUUUGGAGAGUGAAGCAGAAAAACCUGAAAGAUGCCCCAGUCUUGGCAAGUAGAGUGCAACUUGUGGAGCUCAAGGUUCUGGUGGUCAUCUUCCAAAAGCAAACGAGACAUGUCGAUAGUUGGUGGCAAAGGAGUGGUGACAGACAAGGAAGGAGGUUGUUGGUUUAUACGAACAAAUGGUUGUGGGAUUGUGAAAUCCGGUGCUGCUAAUUUAACAAGUUCCUGGACGCUAAAUGUUGAAGGAUCGAAGGCAGAGGUGCUAAAAUCAUCUUCCGUGUAUGAUGAUGAUGACCCCAUAGCGUUAAGGAAGGAGUCAGCCUCUUCAAUCUACAACAUACAGCCUAUUGUUGGAGAUAUUUAAAGGGGAAAACAAA
RNAcentral lists this long non-coding RNA (21696 nucleotides) under Gossypium raimondii (Peruvian cotton). RNAcentral's name for it is "long non-coding RNA (GRAI_LNC010859)". Lineage: Eukaryota; Viridiplantae; Streptophyta; Magnoliopsida; Malvales; Malvaceae. The record is from RNAcentral.